UACGUAGGUGGCAAGCGUUGUCCGGAAUUAUUGGGCGUAAAGCGCGCGCAGGCGGUCCUUUAAGUCUGAUGUGAAAGCCCACGGCUCAACCGUGGAGGGUCAUUGGAAACUGGGGGACUUGAGUGCAGGAGAGAAAAGUGGAAUUCCACGUGUAGCGGUGAAAUGCGUAGAGAUGUGGAGGAACACCAGUGGCGAAGGCGACUUUGUGGCCUGUAACUGACGCUGAGGCGCGAAAGCGUGGGGAGCAAACAGG
This 253-nucleotide ribosomal RNA is filed under the name uncultured bacterium. Its description in RNAcentral is "partial 16S ribosomal RNA". It matches the Rfam family "Bacterial small subunit ribosomal RNA", at positions 524 to 776 of the family's 1533-position model. The record is from RNAcentral.